This 67-nucleotide transfer RNA is filed under the name Neohydnus jiuzhaigouensis. Its description in RNAcentral is "tRNA-Pro". Lineage: Eukaryota; Metazoa; Arthropoda; Insecta; Coleoptera; Cleridae. The record is from RNAcentral.
CAGAAAAUAGUUUAAUUAUAAAAUAUUAAUUUUGGAGAUUAAUGAUAAGAAUAUUUCUUUUUUCUGA